UACCCAGAGUGUCUGUGAUGGUCCUGUA
This 28-nucleotide non-coding RNA is filed under the name Homo sapiens (human). The record is from RNAcentral. Lineage: Eukaryota; Metazoa; Chordata; Mammalia; Primates; Hominidae.